This 407-nucleotide ribosomal RNA is filed under the name uncultured bacterium. RNAcentral's name for it is "partial 16S ribosomal RNA". It matches the Rfam family "Bacterial small subunit ribosomal RNA", at positions 30 to 526 of the family's 1533-position model. The record is from RNAcentral.
AUUGAACGCUGGCGGCAGGCCUAACACAUGCAAGUCGAGCGGAGCGGCGGACGGGUGAGGAAUGCCUAGGAGUCUGUCUGGUAGUGGGUGCUAUCGUCAGGAAACGGGCGCUAAUACCGAAUACUUUCAGAUGAGCCUAGGUCGGAUUGGCUAGUUGGUGGGGUAAAGGCCUACGAAGGCGUCGAUCCGUAACUGGUCUGUGAGGAUGAUCAGUCACACUGGAACUGAGCGACUGUGCUGCCUCCUACGGUAGGAAGCAGUGGGGAAUAUUGGAAGAUGGGCGAAAGCCUGAUACAGCCAUGCGGCGUGUGUGAAGAAGGUCUUCGGAUUGUAAAGCUCUAUAAGUUGGUAGGCGUUACCAACAGAAUAAGCACCGGCUAACUACGUGCCAGCAGCCGCGGUAAUUC